This 253-nucleotide ribosomal RNA is filed under the name uncultured bacterium. RNAcentral describes it as "partial 16S ribosomal RNA". It matches the Rfam family "Bacterial small subunit ribosomal RNA", at positions 524 to 776 of the family's 1533-position model. The record is from RNAcentral.
AACGUAGGAGGCAAGCGUUAUCCGGAUUUACUGGGCGUAAAGCGCGUGCAGGCGGUCUGGUAAGUUGGAUGUGAAAGCUCCCGGCUCAACUUGGAGAGGUCGUUCAAAACUGCCAGACUGGAGGACGGUAGAGGGAGGUGGAAUUCCGGGUGUAGUGGUGAAAUGCGUAGAUAUCCGGAGGAACACCAGUGGCGAAAGCGGCCUCCUGGACCGUCCCUGACGCUCAGGCGCGAAAGCUAGGGGAGCAAACGUG